UUUUGGGUUUUUGAUUCAAAAAUUUCUUGAUUGAUUUUUGGACAGGUUUUUUUGGAGGUUUUUUGGACGGGAAUUAAACUUGCCCUAAUAGUAGUAAGAAAGUUUAUUCUUUUAUAAACAUUUGAUUUGUCUCUUCUUUUCUAAAGAUUGUUGUUUGUUUUUGUUCUUUUACGGUGUUUAAAAUAGAUUUCUUAACUCUUGUGUUUUGUUGUUUAUUUAACAUUAUGAAACUUUCUCUGAUGUAAAAUCUUCAUUUUAGGAUUUACAUAGUUUUAAGCUUAUUUAGGAGAUAAGAAUGCAUUCAAGUCACAGAUCUCAAAUCUGAGUUAGGUUGAAUGGUGGAUUCUACAUGGGGAUGAUUGAGAAUGAUGUUUUAGCUUCAGGGUGAAGCUUUAAUGAGAGAGUGUGUGAGGAUUUGACUUUAAUGAGAAGAAGCAAAAUAUAAGAUGCAUAUGAUGUUCAUGUGAUAAGUGCCUCCCUCAACAUUAUAAUUUUCAACAAAGAGUUCUACAAUACAAGUUUUCAUUUAAAUGGUGAUAUUUGGUUUAAAAAAAGCUAAAAAAAUUGUACUAAAAAUUACUCUAUACAACGUGGUUGUUGUGUUUAGUAUUGUCCACCCAUUAUUUUUUCUUUUUAA
This is a long non-coding RNA of Vicia villosa (hairy vetch), 637 nucleotides long. RefSeq lists it as uncharacterized. NCBI's taxonomy places the organism in Eukaryota, Viridiplantae, Streptophyta, Magnoliopsida, Fabales, Fabaceae. The transcript has 3 exons. The record is from RefSeq and is a predicted model, not a curated record.